This 1274-nucleotide long non-coding RNA is filed under the name Sus scrofa (pig). RNAcentral describes it as "lncRNA (ENSSSCG00005008314.1)". Lineage: Eukaryota; Metazoa; Chordata; Mammalia; Artiodactyla; Suidae. The record is from RNAcentral.
GAGCCAUUAGCCCUAAGGGAUACGGAUGAAGUAGAUCCAACCAUCCCACUGCUUGAUGAAGAAGCACAGAACUUUGAAUUCAAGGCUGCUUUUAUCUAGAUCCCUGACUGACCUGCACUGAGGAGAAAGCAGUUCCAGCUUUGGAAACUGGGGCACUGGGGGAGCCAGGUUCAGGGACAGAGAAUUUGAGCAGUGUCCUGGUAACAGCCUGCAUGGAAGCAGAGGUCAGUUCCUGAGAAGCUCUGCCUGCGUACCUCCUCAGUUUGGGGGAAGGAGGAGCCCCGACCUGGUCAAAAUCAGCCUUCCUUCCCCAGAGCGCCUGUGACCUGAGACCAGGCAAGAACCACGACUGACCACAGGGGAGAAUCCAGUCACUUUCGUUACACUGUGCUCCUGUUCCUACCUGCUCCUGGACCCUUGGGAAGCCAGCGCCACACUCCUGUAGACUCUCUCUCAUCCCCUAGAUGAGCCUUUUCGUCUACCCCUUGGACAUUCUGACCUCGUACACACCUCGAAGUGUACCGGUAACUCUGCUCUAAUAUGUCAAGUUCUGAAAACAUUUCCACUCUUCUGGCCAAGGAGGCUCAGCCAGUUGUGGGGUGAAAUUUGGGAAGCCUGGAUUGGGAAGUGAAGAUCACUCUGUGGAAAGNNNNNNNNNNNNNNNNNNNNNNNNNNNNUCUUCCUUUGGUUCCAGCGCAUCAACCUUCACCUCUCCCCGCAGCACCGCGAUCACCAGCCAUCAAGGCCACCUUGCCCGGUGCCUUUUUUUUAAAAUAUGGCUUUAAAUGCUUCAUCGUGGUUAGAAGACAACAUAGAGAAGCAUUAACAAAAUGAUGGGGAAGACGCAAAAUAGAAGAACAGAGAAAGAAGAAAGAGGAAGUAGAAUUCAGGAGGAGAAAAAAUCAUGACAUUGGUUUAUUGAAAACUGAACAGAAGGCAAAAUUGCACCCAGCCACCUCCAGCCCAGCAGGCUUGUCAAAACCAACUCAGACACAGGGGGACUCUUACCUAUUUGUCUCUGGAUCUUCAGAAUGGAGUCAGGAGAGGUGGCAUUUGGAGGCAGCGGAGCUGUGCUGGUUACCUUCGUUUCCCCCUCUGCAUCUACAGAGGUGUUUUGCACAUAAAAGGAUUUCAACAGAGUGAAAUGAUCACUAACUUUUAAGUUAUAUCUACUCUUGCAAAGUGAAAUGUGGAGUUCAGAUGUCUGGGGGGAUAAAAAGGUGUUAAAAAAAGACCCAAAUGGUCCACAUGAAUAAAAGAUGAUACAUUUGGGC